UGAGGAAUAUUGGUCAAUGGGCGUAAGCCUGAACCAGCCAUGCCGCGUGAAGGAUGACUGCCCUAUGGGUUGUAAACUUCUUUUGCAGGGGGCGAAAUACGGGUCUAGAACCCGGGCUGACGGUACCCUGCGAAUAAGCAUCGGCUAACUCCGUGCCAGCAGCCGCGGUAAUACGGAGGAUGCGAGCGUUAUCCGGAUUUAUUGGGUUUAAAGGGUUCGUAGGCGGCCAAUUAAGUCAGCGGUGAAAUACCGGCGCUCAACGCCGGGGCUGCCGUUGAUACUGACUGGCUCGAUUCUGGGCGACGGUGGCGGAAUGUGACAAGUAGCGGUGAAAUGCAUAGAUAUGUCACAGAACACCGAUAGCGAAGGCAGCUGCCGAGCCAAGGAAUGACGCUGAGGA
Molecule: ribosomal RNA, 400 nt
Filed under: uncultured bacterium
Lineage: Bacteria
Description: bacterial SSU rRNA
Rfam family: Bacterial small subunit ribosomal RNA
Source: RNAcentral